Molecule: unclassified non-coding RNA, 148 nt
Organism: Papio anubis (olive baboon)
Lineage: Eukaryota; Metazoa; Chordata; Mammalia; Primates; Cercopithecidae
Rfam family: Metazoan signal recognition particle RNA
About the family: The signal recognition particle (SRP) is a universally conserved ribonucleoprotein. It is involved in the co-translational targeting of proteins to membranes. The eukaryotic SRP consists of a 300-nucleotide 7S RNA and six proteins: SRPs 72, 68, 54, 19, 14, and 9.
Source: Ensembl
GCUGGGCAUAGUGGCUCAUGCCUGUACUCCCAGCUAUUCAGGAGGCUGAGGUGGGAGGAUUGCUUGAGCCCAGGAGGUCGAGGCUGCAGUGAGCUAUGAUUGCACCACUGCACUCCAGCCUGGGUGACAGAGCAAGACCCUCUCUCUA